This 538-nucleotide ribosomal RNA is filed under the name uncultured marine eukaryote. RNAcentral describes it as "SSU rRNA". It matches the Rfam family "Eukaryotic small subunit ribosomal RNA", at positions 576 to 1127 of the family's 1831-position model. The record is from RNAcentral.
UCGGUAAUUCCAGCUCCAAUAGCGUAUAUUAAAGUUGUUGCGGUUAAAAAGCUCGUAGUUGGAUUUCCGUUCGAGCCCGCACCUCCCCUUGGGGGUUGGUGCCGAGCUCGAGCCUUUCUAGGUGUAUACGUGCGUACUUCACUGUAUGGCGUAUUCAACCCGGACUUUUACUUUGAGGAAAUUAGAGUGUUUCAGGCAGGCAAACGCCUUGAAUACAUUAGCAUGGAAUAAUAAGAUAAGACUUUGGUCUUGUUUGUUGGUUCAUAGACCGAAGUAAUGAUUAAUAGGGAUAGUUGGGGGCAUUCGUAUUUAACUGUCAGAGGUGAAAUUCUUGGAUUUGUUAAAGACGAACUACUGCGAAAGCAUUUGCCAAGGAUGUUUUCAUUGAUCAAGAACGAAAGUUAGGGGAUCGAAGACGAUCAGAUACCGUCCUAGUCCUAACCAUAAACCAUGCCGACUAGGGAUCGGAGGUCGUUAUCUUACGACUCCUUCGGCACCUUAUGAGAAAUCAAAGUCUUUGGGUUCCGGGGGGAGUAUG